GGUUAAGCGACUAAGCGUACACGGUGGAUGCCCUGGCAGUCAGAGGCGAUGAAGGACGUGCUAAUCUGCGAUAAGCGCCGGUAAGGUGAUAUGAACCGUUAUAACCGGCGAUUUCCGAAUGGGGAAACCCAGUGUGACUCGUCACACUAUCAUUAACUGAAUCCAUAGGUUAAUGAGGCGAACCGGGGGAACUGAAACAUCUAAGUACCCCGAGGAAAAGAAAUCAACCGAGAUUCCCCCAGUAGCGGCGAGCGAACGGGGAGGAGCCCAGAGCCUGAAUCAGCAUGUGUGUUAGUGGAAGCGUCUGGAAAGGCGCGCGAUACAGGGUGACAGCCCCGUACACAAAAGCGCAUGUGCUGUGAGCUCGAUGAGUAGGGCGGGACACGUGGUAUCCUGUCUGAAUAUGGGGGGACCAUCCUCCAAGGCUAAAUACUCCUGACUGACCGAUAGUGAACCAGUACCGUGAGGGAAAGGCGAAAAGAACCCCGGCGAGGGGAGUGAAAAAGAACCUGAAACCGUGUACGUACAAGCAGUGGGAGUACAGGUUUACCUGUGUGACUGCGUACCUUUUGUAUAAUGGGUCAGCGACUUAUAUUCUGUAGCAAGGUUAACCGAAUAGGGGAGCCGGAGGGAAACCGAGUCUUAAUUGGGCGUUAAGUUGCAGGGUAUAGACCCGAAACCCGGUGAUCUAGCCAUGGGCAGGUUGAAGGUUGGGUAACACUAACUGGAGGACCGAACCGACUAAUGUUGAAAAAUUAGCGGAUGACCUGUGGCUGGGGGUGAAAGGCCAAUCAAACCGGGAGAUAGCUGGUUCUCCCCGAAAGCUAUUUAGGUAGCGCCUCGUGAA
RNAcentral lists this ribosomal RNA (847 nucleotides) under Salmonella enterica subsp. enterica serovar Montevideo. RNAcentral describes it as "partial 23S ribosomal RNA". It matches the Rfam family "Bacterial large subunit ribosomal RNA", at positions 1 to 888 of the family's 2925-position model. Lineage: Bacteria; Pseudomonadati; Pseudomonadota; Gammaproteobacteria; Enterobacterales; Enterobacteriaceae. The record is from RNAcentral.